This 490-nucleotide ribosomal RNA is filed under the name uncultured bacterium. Its description in RNAcentral is "partial 16S ribosomal RNA". It matches the Rfam family "Bacterial small subunit ribosomal RNA", at positions 30 to 507 of the family's 1533-position model. The record is from RNAcentral.
AUUGAACGCUGGCGGCAGGCCUAACACAUGCAAGUCGAACGGUAACAGGAAACAGCUUGCUGUUUCGCUGACGAGUGGCGGACGGGUGAGUAAUGUCUGGGAAACUGCCUGAUGGAGGGGGAUAACUACUGGAAACGGUAGCUAAUACCGCAUAACGUCGCAAGACCAAAGAGGGGGACCCUCGGGCCUCUUGCCAUCGGAUGUGCCCAGAUGGGAUUAGCUUGUUGGUGGGGUAACGGCUCACCAAGGCGACGAUCCCUAGCUGGUCUGAGAGGAUGACCAGCCACACUGGAACUGAGACACGGUCCAGACUCCUACGGGAGGCAGCAGUGGGGAAUAUUGCACAAUGGGCGCAAGCCUGAUGCAGCCAUGCCGCGUGUAUGAAGAAGGCCUUCGGGUUGUAAAGUACUUUCAGCGAGGAGGAAGGGAGUAAAGUUAAUACCUUUGCUCAUUGACGUUACCCGCAGAAGAAGCACCGGCUAACUCCGUG